Long non-coding RNA from Priapulus caudatus, 500 nucleotides. RefSeq lists it as uncharacterized. The transcript is spliced from 4 exons. The record is from RefSeq and is a predicted model, not a curated record. Lineage: Eukaryota; Metazoa; Priapulida; Priapulimorpha; Priapulimorphida; Priapulidae.
GAGAGGGGGAGAGCAAGAGGAGGCGAGAGGAGCAUUGCGUGUCUGUGUCUGUGUGUUUGUGGGAGAUAGAUAGAUAGAGAGUAAUAUCGCAAGAGAAAUCGAGAUAACGAAAGAUAUAGAGAGCGAGAGAGAGAGAGAGCGAGCAAGAGAGAGACGAUGAGGAGAGAGAGAGAGAGAGAGAGAGAGAGAGAGCGAUAUAGAGAAAAGAAGGAAGGAGGACAAGGCGGGCGGGGAUACAGAAGAAAGACAUUUCACUGACCGACAGACCGACCGCUAAAACGGCAACAUGAAGAGGAGCUUACAGAGAAUGUCUGCGCUGCUGGCCAUGUGUCUACUGAUGCAGGAAUUCCACCUCACCAUGCAGGUUGCAGGUGCGGCGAAGCAGCGUGAAGAGACAACGCAGACAAGCAUCAAUGAACUCGAUCAGGCGUUGGAGAUACAUGCCACGGGUUUUAGCUCCACACGUGAGAAGAGAGGUUAAAGAUGGUUUCCCGAUGUUU